This 962-nucleotide long non-coding RNA is filed under the name Toxoplasma gondii VEG. The record is from RNAcentral. Lineage: Eukaryota; Apicomplexa; Conoidasida; Eucoccidiorida; Sarcocystidae.
AUUAUCCGCACGCAACGGGGAUUCAAGCAAGAUGGUAGGUAGCAGCUGCCAAUCGUGCUGGGAACGCCUCUGAGAGAAUGACCAAAACGCAGCCACACUGGGAGUCUACCUGAGUCACAGAUACACCAAAAAAUAAUCGAAAAUUGCCAGGUGUCUUCUUCGACACAAUCGAAAGACACAUCACUUUCUCUCUUCGAAGGCGUUAAAAGCCAGCCAACAUCAAAUGCAAACGCGAGGGGGGACAUGCAGGAAGUCCUACGUAUAUGAUGUAGAAUGGGAUGAAAAGACUGGCAGCGACAUUCGCUGAAUUUCAACAUUUGCCAAGCGCGAACAAUUCACAAAUUGAAGGUGUAUAUGUGAUGCAGUAUUAUGUGAUGUUCUGCUCCAAGCAUAACUGUCAAGUCUUUGACUGUGGUUCGAAUCGUGACCUACGAUUCAGAGUGCUGUAACAACCUUUCCUCUGUUCCCGUCCCUUACACCCUGCUUACGGGACCUGAUAACGACAGCUUCUUCGGGAACCCUUGCACCUUUUGCGGCAAUUUAGAGACACCUUGUGCACUUCGAUCCGUGUGACACCUUCAUUUCUCCUUCGCUGGCCCUGUGGUUCGUGCAGGUUUCACCUUCUGCCUCUCUCUCCGUCUGCUGCUUCCAGCCCCAUUUAAAGUGUUCGUGUCUCUCCAAAACCGUGGUGCUAUUUGUUCUCCUGAUGGAUUCGGGUUUUACCUCAGGGCGCAACUUUUCGUCUUUCAUCUGCAUCUCCGGCAUGCUUUGUCGCCUUCCGAUAUCAUAAAUUCCGCCGGCCCUCCCGUAUACGGUGCGCAUCUGUUAGCUGUCUCACUCUGCGCACGCAAUGGUGUGUUCCAUGUAAUCCCUAUGGGAGACUCAUAUCUUUGUCUCACCAUCGUUGUCAUAUGCUGGUUGCGUGCUCAUAUGGCUUCUUCGUCAGUCCACCGAUAUAUGUC